RNAcentral lists this ribosomal RNA (253 nucleotides) under uncultured bacterium. RNAcentral's name for it is "partial 16S ribosomal RNA". It matches the Rfam family "Bacterial small subunit ribosomal RNA", at positions 524 to 776 of the family's 1533-position model. The record is from RNAcentral.
UACGAAGGGGGCGAGCGUUGUCCGGAUUUAUUGGGCGUAAAGAGCGUGUAGGCGGCCAUGUAGGUCCGGUGUGAAAACUCGAGGCUUAACCUCGAGAUGUCAUCGGAAACCAUUUGGCUAGAGUCCGGAAGAGGAGAGUGGAAUUCCUGGUGUAGCGGUGAAAUGCGCAGAUAUCAGGAAGAACACCAAUGGCGAAAGCAGCUCUCUGGGACGGUACUGACGCUGAGACGCGAAAGCGUGGGGAGCGAACAGG